This is an RNA transcript of Brassica oleracea var. oleracea, 1274 nucleotides long. It is a transcript of the gene named transcription factor bHLH126-like, with no coding region annotated. The transcript has 5 exons. The record is from RefSeq and is a predicted model, not a curated record. NCBI's taxonomy places the organism in Eukaryota, Viridiplantae, Streptophyta, Magnoliopsida, Brassicales, Brassicaceae.
AGGAGACAGACAGAACCAUUUGUUUUCUUUAGGCACCAUUCUUCACAAUAUAAAAAAGCUAACCAGUAAACAAUACAAGAAAAUAAAUUAUUUUUGGACAACCACAAAAUCCUACGGAGAUCUGGCAUUGUUAAAGCUCAAAGUGUAAAACUAUGGAUCCAUAUCAGAAUCCCAGCCCGAAAGGGUACCAGAGACAGAGGCCAUUUGGCUCAGCCGGUGAAGGUGGCAGCAGCGGCGGCUCCGAUAUACCCCGUGAAAUAGAUGACAAUAAGAAGAAAAAGAAGCUUCUCCACCGCGACAUCGAACGCCAGAGAAGACAAGAGAUGGCUACACUCUUUGCUUCGCUUCGUUCUCACUUACCUCUCCAAUACAUUAAGGGGAAGAGAGCUGUUUCGGAUCAUGUAAACGGAGCGGUGAAUUUCAUUAAGGACACGGAAACACGGAUUAAAGAACUUAGUGCAAGAAGAGACGAGCUAAGCAGAGAAACAUGUCAUACAUAUAAAUCGAGUCCGGAUCCGGCAAGAACUGGAUCCGAGUUAGGCAAAUCGUAUCCGGCGAGUGUGAUGGUGCAACCAUGCGUGAGCGGUUUCGAAGUGGCGGUGAGCAGCAACUCGUCAGGUCCCGAAGCUUUGCCACUCUCAAGAGUGCUUGAGACACUUCAGGAGCUAGGACUUGAAGUCAUCAGCUGUCUCACCACAAGAGUCAAUGAGAGGCUCAUGCACACUAUUCAAGUCGAGGUUAAUAGUUUUGGAUGCCUGGACUUAGCUUGGUUGCAGCAGAAGCUAGUUGAGGAGUUGAUACUUUAGACGGGAUUUGGUAUUGAAGCUUGUUAGUGGAUAUAAGAAAAGCGUUUUUUGUAGAUACCAUCUGUUCGUUGCUCCAAUAGAAAUAUCUAAAGCAUUCAUGAAACUUCAUCUUGGAAAGCUGGCCAUGAAAUAUACUCUUGGAUGGAGGCAUAGCCUCGGUUUAAACAAAUUCAAGUUCGUGUUGCAGUUUUUUGUUUUGAUAAGUGCGUAUUGCAGUUAUGUUUCAAAAGGAUUUUAUGCAUGGGUAGGUCAUAAAGUUCACCAUCAUUCAACGCAGAACCGUAAAGACUGAGGUUGUGAUGUUUGCAAUAGAUCAUUUUUCUCACAAUAAGGUUUUUGUGUGUGUUGCUUUACAUUUGCUUCUUAUCAGCUCCAAAUUUCAGCUAUCAGGUUUCCCUUUUAUUAUUAGCAUCUUUUGUGCCAUUUCAUUGUUAUGUGUUCAUGCGGGUUUUUAGUAUGUAUAUAAGG